AUCCACUGCAAUAUAAAAGAACAUGUGAAUGGGACUGCUUAUAUGAAUCGUCUUCACCUCACAUACUUUUCUCUGUCAUUGCUAAAGCGUAACUUCCAAAAGAGGACCAAAAUACUUUUGAUGCAUGCUAAUGAAAGCAUUAGAAGAUAUUUCUGGGUAAAUAGUCUAUCUCUGUCUAACUCGAAAAUAAGGAUUUUUGUUAACUAGUGGAAGAAUGGAACAAUUGAAUACAUAGAACAUGUUUUAUGGCUGCUCUAUGAAGGACAGUCCUGCAAAGUAUCCCUGCUGACGUACCCAUGGCAGAGGAAUCAGUGUGCCUUUAAAAAUCUGCUUGCUAGAGAGGAAUCCAAAUUACUUGGAUAUUCAAAACCGCAUGUGAGCUUAGCACAACCAUGAAUGGUGUGCGAAUCUUAUUCCCCAUCUUUUGUAAUUGAAGCCCUUAAUAUGUAUGUUAUAUAACUAAAGCCAUCCCUAUCAACUGGAGAACUAGAUUGAUCCAUUGUUAGUCAAACAGUAAAAUAGAAACACAGUUCUGUAAGUCAAAGUAGCUCAGUCUCUCUCAUACCUUUCCUGCAUAGUGCAGUAUGCAGAACUCAGUUUUAUCCUUGAGUUGUUUGGACUUCUGGAAUUUGGCAUGGUUGCCUUGUUCUUGAAUUAGUUUUUCCACAAAGGAAGUGUCAGUAGCUUUGGGAAACCAGCACUCUUCAUCCAGCAGAGCUAGGACACCCGGGGGGUUGGUCUGCAACGUGAACAAUACCAGAUCAGUAUAAUCAAAGCUGGAGAUGAAGAAAGACCACCGCCUUCUUUUUACUUUGUUACUAAUCCUCCCAGGCAACAACAAUCUGAAAUAAUCUUAAAUGGUACUUAUAUUGAUAUAUAAUGGACCCUGAUGAAACCUACGUAGUAUCCCAUCUAUAUAGAUAAAAACUUACGGGUCUUUCAAUUAGCUCAAUGCAAGGCUGCAGGUCAAGGCCAAAGUCAAUGAAAUUCCAUUCAAUGCCCUCACGCUGAUAUUCCUCUUGCUCCAAUAUAAACAUUGUGUGGUUGAAAAGCUGUUGAAGUUUCUCAUUAGUGUAAUUGAUGCACAGCUGCUCAAAGGAAUUGAUCU
Molecule: long non-coding RNA, 1108 nt
Organism: Gallus gallus (chicken)
Lineage: Eukaryota; Metazoa; Chordata; Aves; Galliformes; Phasianidae
Exons: 2
Source: RefSeq, a predicted model, not a curated record